RNAcentral lists this ribosomal RNA (253 nucleotides) under uncultured bacterium. RNAcentral describes it as "partial 16S ribosomal RNA". It matches the Rfam family "Bacterial small subunit ribosomal RNA", at positions 524 to 776 of the family's 1533-position model. The record is from RNAcentral.
UACAGAGGGUGCGAGCGUUGUCCGGAAUCACUGGGCGUAAAGGGUGCGUAGGUGGGCAGGUAAGUCAGUGGUGAAAUCUCCGGGCUUAACUCGGAAACUGCCAUUGAUACUAUCUGUCUUGAAUACCGUGGAGGUCAGCGGAAUAUGUCAUGUAGCGGUGAAAUGCUUAGAUAUGACAUAGAACACCAAUUGCGAAGGCAGCUGGCUACACGAAUAUUGACACUGAUGCACGAAAGCGUGGGGAUCAAACAGG